ACGAACGCUGGCGGCGUGCUUAACACAUGCAAGUCGAGCGGUAAGGCCCUUCGGGGUACACGAGCGGCGAACGGGUGAGUAACACGUGAGCAAUCUGCCCUCCACAUCGGGAUACCCCCCGGAAACGGGAGCUAAUACCGGAUACGACCACUUCAGGCAUCUGAUGGUGGUGGAAAGUUCCGGCGGUGGAGGAUGAGCUCGCGGCCUAUCAGCUUGUUGGUGGGGUAAUGGCCCACCAAGGCUUCGACGGGUAGCCGGCCUGAGAGGGUGACCGGCCACACUGGGACUGAGGCACGGCCCAGACUGCUACGGGAGGCAGCAGUGGGGAAUAUUGGACAAUGGGCGAAAGCCUGAUCCAGCAACGCCGCGUGAGGGAUGACGGCCUUCGGGUUGUAAACCUCUUUCAGUAGGGACGAAGCGCAAGUGACGGUACCUACAGAAGAAGCACCGGCCAACUACGU
Molecule: ribosomal RNA, 461 nt
Filed under: uncultured bacterium
Lineage: Bacteria
Description: bacterial SSU rRNA
Rfam family: Bacterial small subunit ribosomal RNA
Source: RNAcentral